ACUGAAUAGAUACCCGGGUAGUCCACGCCCUAAACGAUGUCUACUAGUUGUCGGGUUUUAAUUAACUUGGUAACGCAGCUAAACGCGUGAAAGUAGACCGCCUGGGGAGUACGGUCGCAAGAUUAAAACUCAAAGGAAUUGACGGGGACCCGCACAAGCGGUGGAUGAUGUGGAUUAAUUCGAUGCAACGCGAAAAACCUUACCUACCCUUGACAUGUACGGAAGCCACGAGAGAUCGAGGUGUGCUCGAAAGAGAGCCGUAACACAGGUGCUGCAUGGCUGUCGUCAGCUCGUGUCGUGAGAUGUUGGGUUAAGUCCCGCAACGAGCGCAACCCUUGUCAUUAGUUGCUACGAAAGGGCACUCUAAUGAGACUGCCGGUGACAAACCGGA
Molecule: ribosomal RNA, 391 nt
Filed under: uncultured bacterium
Lineage: Bacteria
Description: bacterial SSU rRNA
Rfam family: Bacterial small subunit ribosomal RNA
Source: RNAcentral